This 253-nucleotide ribosomal RNA is filed under the name uncultured bacterium. RNAcentral's name for it is "partial 16S ribosomal RNA". It matches the Rfam family "Bacterial small subunit ribosomal RNA", at positions 524 to 776 of the family's 1533-position model. The record is from RNAcentral.
UACGUAGGGGGCUAGCGUUGUUCGGAAUUACUGGGCGUAAAGCGCGCGCAGGCGGCUUGUCAAGUCAGGGGUGAAAGCCCAGAGCUCAACUCUGGAAUUGCCUUUGAGACUGAGUGGCUUGAGUACGGGAGAGGUGAGUGGAAUUCCCAGUGUAGAGGUGAAAUUCGUAGAUAUUGGGAAGAACACCGGUGGCGAAGGCGGCUCACUGGCCCGUAACUGACGCUCAUGCACGACAGCGUGGGGAUCAAACAGG